UGCAGCUAUCCGUGAGCUGCAAGAACGCUUCCAUUGUCUCGAAGUUGACUACGCCAGGCUGGAAGCCACAUUCCAGUGUCAAGCCAAAACCAUAGAAAUAAUUGAGAAGUUGCGGCAAACCAAAAAGACAUGCAAUUGCUGCACCAUCCACGGAGGAACGAGG
Molecule: long non-coding RNA, 163 nt
Organism: Empidonax traillii (willow flycatcher)
Lineage: Eukaryota; Metazoa; Chordata; Aves; Passeriformes; Tyrannidae
Exons: 3
Source: RefSeq, a predicted model, not a curated record